Molecule: ribosomal RNA, 484 nt
Filed under: uncultured bacterium
Lineage: Bacteria
Description: partial 16S ribosomal RNA
Rfam family: Bacterial small subunit ribosomal RNA
Source: RNAcentral
AUUGAACGCUGGCGGCAGGCCUAACACAUGCCAGUCGAGCGGAUGAAGGGAGCUUGCUCCUGGAUUCAGCGGCGGACGGGUGAGUAAUGCCUAGGAAUCUGCCUGGUAGUGGGGGAUAACGUCCGGAAACGGGCGCUAAUACCGCAUACGUCCUGAGGGAGAAAGUGGGGGGUUUUCGGACCCCACGCUUACAAGAUGACCUAGGUCGGAUUAGCUAGUUGGUGGGGUAAAGGCCUACCAAGGCGACGAUCCGUAACUGGUCUGAGAGGAUGAUCAGUCACACUGGAACUGAGACACGGUCCAGACUCCUACGGGAGGCAGCAGUGGGGAAUAUUGGACAAUGGGCGAAAGCCUGAUCCAGCCAUGCCGCGUGUGUGAAGAAGGUCUUCGGAUUGUAAAGCACUUUAAGUUGGGAGGAAGGGCAGUAAGUUAAUACCUUGCUGUUUUGACGUUACCAACAGAAUAAGCACCGGCUAACUUCGUG